AAUUGAAGAGUUUGAUCAUGGCUCAGAUUGAACGCUGGCGGCAGGCCUAACACAUGCAAGUCGAGCGGUAACAGAAAGUAGCUUGCUACUUUGCUGACGAGCGGCGGACGGGUGAGUAAUGCUUGGGAACAUGCCUUGAGGUGGGGGACAACAGUUGGAAACGACUGCUAAUACCGCAUAAUGUCUACGGACCAAAGGGGGCUUCGGCUCUCGCCUUUAGAUUGGCCCAAGUGGGAUUAGCUAGUUGGUGAGGUAAUGGCUCACCAAGGCAACGAUCCCUAGCUGGUUUGAGAGGAUGAUCAGCCACACUGGAACUGAGACACGGUCCAGACUCCUACGGGAGGCAGCAGUGGGGAAUAUUGCACAAUGGGCGAAAGCCUGAUGCAGCCAUGCCGCGUGUGUGAAGAAGGCCUUCGGGUUGUAAAGCACUUUCAGUCAGAGGAAAGGGUGUGAGUUAAUACCUUGCAUCUGUGACGUUACUGACAGAAAAGCACCGGCUAACUCCGUGCCAGCAGCCGCGGUAA
RNAcentral lists this ribosomal RNA (524 nucleotides) under Alteromonadales bacterium TW-7. Its description in RNAcentral is "bacterial SSU rRNA". It matches the Rfam family "Bacterial small subunit ribosomal RNA", at positions 1 to 523 of the family's 1533-position model. Lineage: Bacteria; Pseudomonadati; Pseudomonadota; Gammaproteobacteria; Alteromonadales. The record is from RNAcentral.